GGGAAGAAAAAAAAAACAGUUCUCAAUCGUAAAAUUGCUAACAGUGAACAAAAAAAGCCUAUCAUAUCUAUGCUUCUUUACCGAAGCUUUUCUUCGAUUAAUCGCGUUUCUUUUUUCCAUUUUAUGUUCGCAGCAAGCACGAACUUGGGUUUAAAUAUAACGUGGCUUGUUUGUUUUCGUGUCCAGACUCAAUGCCAAGAGGUAAACGGCAGUUGCUAUUGUACGUGGUAAUUUUUGCUGACGUAACGCGAUCUUUACGAAAGACUUUAACGACCAGAAAACGAGUUUUGAAUAAUUUUGAUGAUUCAUUCGUCAAUUCUUAAACGAGUAAUUAAUUAAUCGAUUGGUAAGAAUUAUUAGCUACACGUACUCACCUUGGGUGCCAUUUUUCGCUCCUGAAACAGAACAUAAAUAAUAAAUUAAUUAGAUGUAUUUCGAAGGGACAGCUUUUAUACAUGAAUACAUAUUCAUACUCUUCGUUCAAAAUAAAAUUUGCAAUUCGUUCGAUCCCCCAUUACUAAUUAUCCCUGUCCUAACUCUAAAUUCCACGUUGUCGGCAUGGAUGCUCGAGAAAUUGAGAAAGGAAACAAGGGAUGAGCAGGCGUGGUUUUUUAGUUGGUGGGAGGACUAAUGGCGAAGACUAGCAGAGUUGGGACAUGUAUUGGAACCGCUCGAUCCUUUAAGACACCGCCUAUUUUGAUGAUAUCUAGCAACUGGACGUACAAAAAGAAGAAUACUGCGCCGCCUUUGUUGUUGGGACGGGGCUCGAUAGAUCGAACGAUACAGAAAACGACCUAAACAACAACGGGUGGUUAUACUCCUUUCCAUACCUUUGGAAUAAAUGUAUAGAGUAAAAUAAAA
This is a non-coding RNA of Osmia lignaria (orchard mason bee), 861 nucleotides long. The record is from RefSeq and is a predicted model, not a curated record. NCBI's taxonomy places the organism in Eukaryota, Metazoa, Arthropoda, Insecta, Hymenoptera, Megachilidae.